ACGGGUGAGUAACACGUGGGUAACCUGCCCUGCACUCUGGGAUAACUCCGGGAAACCGGGGCUAAUACCGGAUACGACCUCCGAGGGCAUCUUCGGGGGUGGAAAGUUUUUCGGUGCAGGAUGGACCCGCGGCCUAUCAGCUUGUUGGUGGGGUAACGGCCCACCAAGGCGAUGACGGGUAGCCGGCCUGAGAGGGCGACCGGCCACACUGGGACUGAGACACGGCCCAGACUCCUACGGGAGGCAGCAGUGGGGAAUAUUGCACAAUGGGCGAAAGCCUGAUGCAGCGACGCCGCGUGAGGGAUGACGGCCUUCGGGUUGUAAACCUCUUUCAGCAGGGACGAAGCGCAAGUGACUGUACCUGCAGAAGAAGCACCGGCUAACUACGUGCCAGCAGCCGCGGUAAUACGUAGGGUGCGAGCGUUGUCCGGAUUUAUUGGGCGUAAAGAGCUUGUAGGCGGCUCGUCACGUCGGGUGUGAAAACUCGCGGCUCAACCGCGAGCCUGCACCCGAUACGGGCGAGCUAGAGUUCGGCAGGGGAGACUGGAAUUCCUGGUGUAGCGGUGGAAUGCGCAGAUAUCAGGAGGAACACCGGUGGCGAAGGCGGGUCUCUGGGCCGAUAC
This 623-nucleotide ribosomal RNA is filed under the name Catenulispora graminis. Its description in RNAcentral is "bacterial SSU rRNA". It matches the Rfam family "Bacterial small subunit ribosomal RNA", at positions 102 to 740 of the family's 1533-position model. Lineage: Bacteria; Bacillati; Actinomycetota; Actinomycetes; Catenulisporales; Catenulisporaceae. The record is from RNAcentral.